This is a non-coding RNA of Rattus norvegicus (Norway rat), 6743 nucleotides long. NCBI's taxonomy places the organism in Eukaryota, Metazoa, Chordata, Mammalia, Rodentia, Muridae. The record is from RefSeq and is a predicted model, not a curated record.
GCUGCCAAAGAACCGAGAAGGCCCUGUGUCACUCAGAGCUGCUACUGUGCCUCUGCCACCUACUCCAGCCAUGUCUCCUCCACUCACAAUCUCUACCUGUACCUGCUUCUUUCUUGGCUGCGUAGAAGCAGUUUCCAUCCUGCGCUCAGAAGAGGAUCCUUCUCAUUCCUCUCCUGUUCAAUUCCUUUCCAUAGUUCAACACCUAACUCAUUAUCCUUGUACAAUGAAGCCUAGGUACACACCCUAGCUUCCCCUCCCCACUCCCGGGCUCACCAUUUGAGUGCUGAAUAAUGGUAAACUUUUCCAUGGUAGAUGGCUAACACUAGUCUCAGAACUCUAUGGGGACAAGGGCUGUGUGUGUCUUGUGCAUUGCUGACCCCUCAAUACUUGGCCAGCCUCUUGCUGCUCAGAGUAGAAUUAAGAUUGUUGACGGAGGUGAAUGCACAGUCAGGUUAGAUCGGACUGUUGCUCUGUGUAUCCUUAGGUGAGUGAGCCCCUGGACCCUGUGGUCCUCUGUCACCCUGUUGGUUAUAGCUGAGUAAGGAAAGCACAUGGCCCUAAAGAGUUUUUGUUGGCCUCCUGAGUGUGAAAGAAUAACUUAAAAACAAGUGAUUCUAAGUGGACAAUGCAAGAUGCUGAGGAAUGGUCACUGCUUCAGAUGCACUACAAAUGAACGGAGUGGGGCUUCCUGCAGUCUGAUGUAAAGGCCAGCAACACAUACAAGGGUCUGUUUGUCUCCGGUGAACAGCUGUCAAGAUGUAAAGUGGUGGACUGAGAGAUGCUAGUGGAACUAAGCAGUGGGUGUCAGGGACUAGCCGGUCCCCAUCCACGCCCAGGGCCUAGUAGGUGCACUUGGACAUGGCUAUACACUUAUUCACUACUCUCACCCUGAUUCAAGGAUAUCCCUGAGGUAGAAUCUCUGAAAUACUGCAGCCCCUGCCAGGAUGAGUCACUUCACCUUCCUGAGCCUUGGCUUCCUUAUCUCAGAUGGAGAUGAAGUCCCAGUAUUCUCCUCAUUGACCGUGACAAUAAUUUCUGCUACAAUUGCUAAAGUCGACGCCACAGGGACCUAAAAGCAGCUAUCCCCACCCUGCUCUUCUCAUAUCUUAUUCCAGUACUUCUGAGGGGUUCCUUGAUUCUUCACCAUCUUUCUUCCUACCCAGUGAGCCAACAGUUAUUUGUAACCUUAGGAACACAGCCAUGUUUUUAUAGCACUUUAUUUUACUUUUAAAUGAAGUAUUUUUUAACAAAAGAUUAAGAGUGUGUGUGUGUGUGUGUGUGUGUGUGUGUGUGUGUGUGUGUGUGUGUGAAAGAGGGAAAAUUGCAGGAUUUGUUUCUUUCCUUCCAUCAUGUGUGUCCUAGAGAACAAACUUAACUGUCAGACUUGGCACCAGGAGCCUUUACCCACUGAGCCAUCUCUCCAGCCCUUUGUAACAUUUUAAAUAAACUUGGAAAACAUGUGUCACCCAAGAACCUAUAAAGCAGUGUAUACUAUGAAUUCUUGAACAGGGCUUCAAGGCACAGGUAGCAUUGUGGAAUGAAGCAGCAGCUCGAAUGAAGUGUUUCCUCAUAUAAUCUCUGAAUAACAGUCCAUAAAAUGUUAGAAACUUAAGGCACUGAGCUAUUACAUCACUUUAUUAUCUUGUCCAAGCUCAGGGAACAUUCCCACCGGGUGUUAUUUUUAUGAGCAUCUAAAAUAAACCACAAAACCUUACCUGCAUUUGAGCCAUUGACUAUCAAACGGACCAAAGAGCUAAGUCUACAAAUGACAGCGUCUGGCUCCUCUAUGGCCCAGCAUCUCAAGAGAAGGGUCAUUGACUGAAGCCAUCUAGCAAUUCCAGGUAUACGCUUCCUGGGCUCACUGAUGUAGCAGCAUGUAAGGAACUGGUGAUGCCAAGCUAGUUCCUAUUGGAUGGAGCAAGUGAGAGGCCUGAGGGUAUGGGAAACAGCAGAGGCAAGGUGGAGUCUUCUCUAAGCCACAGUCCCUCAGAGAUGUGUUUAUUACCAAGGUGUGAACAAAAAAAUAUCUUCCUUUCUGGGGAGCUUGUCAUCAAGGGCUCAAGUAACUACUGCUGUUUUAAUUAACUCACACUCACAACCUGUUGACAGAUACCAGGCAAGGAACAUUCGGGUCUUCGCUGGAAGAAAAAGCCUCUUAGGACUGACUUUCCCCCAGGUAUGGUAGCAUGCUCCUGAAAGACUCAAAAAGGAGAUGAAUGGCUCUCCAUGUCCCUGGCACCCACAUGCUGUUGUCUCCUUAAUUAGCAUUGAUGUCAAUCUUUCAACAUGUAUGUUUAUUUAUGUGUAUCAGGUGUUAGGCGUUGGAGUCAGAUUUCUGACCUCAGGCCUAAUGAAGCAUAGGAGAGCCUGCCACCCAGAGUUUACAGCCCUAGGGGUCAAGACACAGACUGUGGAAUGAAGGCUUAGCAGUAAGCUGCAGCUGUGAUAAGCACCAUGAAUGAUGCUGGGGGGCCUGAGAGCUGGUUCAGCAGUGUGGCCUGGGCUAACUUGGAACACAGAGUUAUGCUGAGGGUAUGACCCAAAGAUUGAGACCUAAGAAUGAGCGAACAUUAUCUAGGGGAAGUAGGAGCAAGAUGGGUACCUGCGGUUUUCUAGGAAGAAGGAAGGAAAUGCAUAUAGCUGCCAAAAGUGGAAUAAAGGGACUUGUCAGACUGAGAAAUGUAUGGUGGGGUUGCCUUAGUUAGGGUUUUACUGCUGUGAACAGACACCAUGACCAAGGCAACUCUUCUAAGGACAACAUUUAAUUGGGUCAGGCUUACAGGAUCAGGGGUUCAGUCCGUUAUCAUCAAAGGAGGAACAUGGCAGCAUCCAGGCAGGCCUGGUGCAGGAGGAGCUGAGAGUUCUACAUCUUCAUCUGAAGGCUGCUAGCAGAAUCCUGACUGCCAGGCAGCUAGGAUGAGGGUCUUGAAACCCACACCCACAGUGACACAGCUACUCCAAAAAGGUCACACCUACUCAAACAGGGCCACAGCUUCUAAUAGUGCCACUCCUUGGGCCAAGCAUAUACAAACCAUCACAGGGGGCCAUCUAAUAAAAGGUUUAUAGGACAUAAGAUCACCCACCUGGAGGGCACGAAGAACAUUUCUCACAGCUCCAGUGAGCCCUCAGCAUUAACCACAGUCCCACUUCUCCUCUAGGGUAUCAUCUGUGCCUCAUGCUUUCCAUCCUGCUUGGUACCAAUUUCCAAGUCUGUCUGCCCAGUAGAUGCAUCUAGGCUCAUAGGCAGCAAGCUCAGGUCUAUUGCCUAAAAACUCAAUAGUUUCUAAUUUGUAAAUGUUUGGCAAACAGAUACACUGAACAACAUCUACAAAACACACUUAACUGUCAACACCACCAGUCACAAAUGGCCAUAAUUCCAUGGUACCUAAAACAGGCAAAGCCCAAGAUAGAAAGUCUAUUUGUUGCCAAGAGCAGAGGAGGGUGACUGCUAGUAUGUUUAUGAUGGCUGCACUAUUCUGAAUAUGCAGACAGAACCCACUGCACUGUGCACUUCAAAGGGGAGAGCUUUACAGUGCUAAGUCAGAGCUCAAUUGAACUUUUCUCUAUAAAAGCAGAGGGAGGAAACCAACACCAGAUGGCUUCCAAUGGGACCAGAAACUGUGACUUUGAAUCCAGCAACCUGAGAACUGAACUGUUGUGCCUUUAAAAUGCACUCAAACUAAUCCUCAUCUUGUGAGGUCAAAGGACAGGAAAUUGCCUCACCAGGUCCUCCACAACCGAUAUGCUGAGCUAUGUUGACCUGCUUCAAUACAAUAACAGUAUGGUCAAAGACUUCCUAACAUCUAUUGGUAGGUUCCCAGGAAGAACACAUCCAUUCCUGUCACCUUGACAAUAUCCAACAUCAGUGAGUUCACUUGACUUUGGAGCUUGUAAGCUUUGGGCUUCAUGACCCAAGACAGUAGGGCAAAAUCCAACUCUGGAAAAUGAAACUAUUGCAUCUAACCUUUUUGAAUGUUUGGUUUAUUAUUAUUAUUAUUAUUAUUAUUAUUAUUAUUAUUAUUAUUAAUUAUUAUUAUUUCUGGUGUUUCUCUAACUAGUAAGAUUUCUGUUUUUGCAACUGAGUUUUUAGAAAAGAAUAUAUAUGAGACCAACCUACCCAGUAAACUGUAGGCUGGAGGCAUGGAGGCCACACUGCUUUACUGAGCCCACAGGCAGAAGGAGGCGUGACUGAAUGAAUAUCUAAGAUGCAAAAACAAUUUUGAAGAUCUACUUUUAAGAGGGUGCACUGGAGGACCAGGCGUCCCCACCUAAACUGUGAUUCAGUAUCUCCUCCACACGCCCUGCUUCAUCUAACGCCAAAAUGCCAUUUCUGAUACCUGACUCCAAAGACAUGAGCUUCGGGAGGGCUGGGAGUAGGCCAGAAGCUGGGAGGGAGCAGAAGAAACUAGCUCUUUCCUGGUGACUUUCAGAAGUGACCAGAAAGAACAGGCUUGCUUGUCAGCCAUGCAGACCUCUGGGCACCAUACCAGACGCUAUCCUACACCAAGAUAGAAGUCCAGGACGAAAGGGAUAUGGGUGAGGCUGAUUAAAGUGGUACAAGGAUACCUUUGUGAGAAGCACCUCCCACUGAUCCUGCUGUCCCUGGAAGCUGCACCUACUCUGGCUGUCACUUCUGUCUCUACUCCCUGUCUACUCCCGCAGGCAGUGAUUCUCUUCCAGGCCAACUGUGAGCUGUAGUUUAUUGGCAGAGGCUCGGUAAGGUCAGUCACAUGCCAGGAACAAACCUCUCACUUGUUUGGGAUUUGGGUUUUAAGGACUUUCCUAGGACUGAUACACAGAAGCAAGAUUUACCCUUGCUUUGAGACAGUAAGUUUCAGGAGUGCCUUGCAGUAAAGACAAGGUUUGUCCCAGCAUUGCAAACCUCAGCACAGCUGUGUUAGCUGUUAAGUCCUACCUCAGGCUUAAGACAAAGUCAAGCCUUACUCCGCCUUGAGGCAGAAGGAAGCCUUACCCAAGCUUUGAGAUAGAGGUAAGCCUUACUCCAGCCUUGUAGUGGCCACUGAGAAUUUUAAUGAAGUUGGGUCCCUGGGCUGUACAUACCCUUUGGUAGUGAGAAACAUGUCCUUGGGGACUAGAUUUGCAAUGGGAAAGGAGCCAAAACCAACUUGGCACUGAGACUGAAGACUGAUCCAGCAGAGAAAUCACAUUUGGGUCUGAGGCCAGAGCAACUACAAUGAAGACCUGACAUUCUGGGAGGACUUGAGCGCUCUUCUUGAGAACAUGAGAAGAAAGAACUUCUCAGCAGGGGAAAGAUGAAUACAAGGACACACUUGAACAGACCUGUGUUUUAUAACCAUAUCUCAUCCGGCUUCUGACAGCGGGGACUCAGUUCUUCCAAUUCAAUGAAUGCCCAACAUUCAUCCCUGGAAGAAGGGACAGGACACUGUGAGGACUGAUCAGAGACUCACCUUGCCAGUGAUGCUUGUAGUCACACAUGCGGGACAGGGCGAUCAUCAUGGCACAGUACAAGGGCAAUAUGGCUGCACAGAGCCGCCAGCUCUUCCCCCGCCCACUCUCCGUGAAGCAGUGCAACUUGCCAGCCAGGUAGAAUGUUGUGAAACCGAGGCCCGAGAAGGCAACUGCCAAAGAGAAAAAGCAGACAUUACCCUAGCGGGUGAGGAGCAGUGGGGACUUGGUGAAUCUCAGACUUCCUGUCUGCCAUCUUUAUGCCCCAAGGCCAAGGCAAGAGAAACCAGGUACCUUGUAGGAAAUCUGUUCUGCCACAGCUAUUCUAGAAUAAACAUGCAACCAUGAGAAUGACCUUCCAGGUGUGCUUGUGCCCAAAGCCUAUUCUGUGUCAUUAUCCUCACUCACAUGUUCAACAAAGGGUUAAUGAUGUGUUUGUGAUGGGUGAUCUUGGUUGUCAACUUGACAUACCUGAGACAAAUGAAACCUCAGUUAAGAAACUCCCUUCAUCAGAUUGACCCAUGGACAUAUCUAUAGAGCAAUUUCUUGAGUGCUAAUUGAGGGGAAAGAGCCCAGCCCACUGUGGGCAGUAUCAUCCCUAGGCAUGGGAGCCUGGGCUGUUUAAGAAAGGUAGCUGAACAUGAACCAGGAAGCAAGCCAAUAAUCAGGUUCCUGCUUCAAACUCCCUGGCUUCCCUCCAUGAUAGACUGUAACCUAUAAGAUAUGAAAUAUAACUUUUUAUCCCCCAAGUUGCCUUUUAUUUUCAGAGUGAGUUAUCAUAGCAUGGAAAAGCUAGCUAGGACAGCUAUCUAAUAUAUGCUAGGCAGACACAUGUUAAAUGGGAGAAGAAAAAGAUAUGCAGGACACCAUCUCUGCUCUCACUGGGCUUGGGGGCUGAUGGAAGAAUAUGGCCGUUCUGCGAGACUAUGUUAAAUAUAUAUUACAUGCAGUAAGAAAAAAGUGCACCCAGGUAAAAAGUCAGGAAGAUGUUUGCUUACAUUAGAAGGGUCAGGAUGAGUGAGAUGACUGGGAUAAUUUCUGCGUUUUGUUAGAGAUAAAUCAUGAAACAGCAGCAUUUGCUGACCUCAGCAAAUACCAAAAAGGAGUGGACUUGAUGGAGAAGCCACUCAUGGCAAACACCUUAAAUUAAUUUUAAAUUAUAAAAUUACUGUAUUUUAGAAAUGCAUAGACUUAAAACCACGGAGUUUGGAUAUAGUAUACGUAAACUGACAGGCUUUCAUCCUUCUAUUUAUGGCUAUAUGAAUGGAUCUGGAAGGCACUCUAGUAUGUGAAAUAAAUGUGCCCAAGAAAGACAA